ACCCGAACAAUCACUUGAUUAUCGUGCGAACAGUUACCAUAUCUAUCUGAGUUUCUUCGGAUCUCACGGAUGCGGCAAAGAGAUAAGUCAGAUUUGCCCUUGCCCGUUUUGUCCUAUAAAGAGUUCCUUCUCGGGUACUCCUUCCCCAUCGCAUCAUUCCAUAACUCCAACUCCACUUUCCCGGGGCGUCAUCCAAAAGCUCCAAGAUCUCCGACGAAGCCCCUUCUUCACCAACUCUAAAACUCUCAAGCAUCUCCUCCGUGGCAAAAUGGCCGUCAACUUCAUCAUCCCUGAAGUCAGUCCUUCGCACCAUCUCUUGUACUUUUUCCUGUACCCUUGUUCACCUGCAGUCCGCCGUACUGAAUACUUUUCCCCCUUC
RNAcentral lists this long non-coding RNA (379 nucleotides) under Sorghum bicolor (sorghum). Its description in RNAcentral is "long non-coding RNA (SBIC_LNC015848)". Lineage: Eukaryota; Viridiplantae; Streptophyta; Magnoliopsida; Poales; Poaceae. The record is from RNAcentral.